This 29-nucleotide non-coding RNA is filed under the name Rattus norvegicus (Norway rat). The record is from RNAcentral. Lineage: Eukaryota; Metazoa; Chordata; Mammalia; Rodentia; Muridae.
UACAUAGUGAGGUGGUAUGUGUGUGUAGC